GGAUGUGAGGACGAUCUGACUGCAACAUCUGUCACCCCACUGAUCACCAGGGUUGAUUCGGCUUAUUUGGCUUGCUAGGCGGGUGUCCCCUUCCUCCCUCACGGCUCCAUGUACGUCCCUCCCGAAGCUGCGUGCUGCCUUGAAAAGAGCAGCCUUCCCUGAAUAGAGAGGGCCCGGCCUGGUCUUCAGUCCAGGGUUUACAAAUAGCUGCACUCCCCCGCUAGAACCUCCAAACAAGCUCUCAAAUUAAGUUUGAGUGGAAGAGUUGGCACAUGCAGUGCAAAGCCUUCUAUACUUGUGCAGCUCUGAGCAGAGAACUUGGAGUA
Molecule: unclassified non-coding RNA, 326 nt
Organism: Erinaceus europaeus (western European hedgehog)
Lineage: Eukaryota; Metazoa; Chordata; Mammalia; Eulipotyphla; Erinaceidae
Gene: 7SK
Rfam family: 7SK RNA
About the family: 7SK was discovered as an abundant small nuclear RNA in the mid-70s but a possible function has only recently been suggested. Two independent studies have found that 7SK RNA binds the CDK9/cyclin T complex (known as elongation factor P-TEFb).
Source: Ensembl